Molecule: ribosomal RNA, 610 nt
Filed under: Staphylococcus warneri
Lineage: Bacteria; Bacillati; Bacillota; Bacilli; Caryophanales; Staphylococcaceae
Description: bacterial SSU rRNA
Rfam family: Bacterial small subunit ribosomal RNA
Source: RNAcentral
CUUGCUCCUUUGACGUUAGCGGCGGACGGGUGAGUAACACGUGGAUAACCUACCUAUAAGACUGGGAUAACUUCGGGAAACCGGAGCUAAUACCGGAUAACAUAUUGAACCGCAUGGUUCAAUAGUGAAAGGCGGCUUUGCUGUCACUUAUAGAUGGAUCCGCGCCGUAUUAGCUAGUUGGUAAGGUAACGGCUUACCAAGGCAACGAUACGUAGCCGACCUGAGAGGGUGAUCGGCCACACUGGAACUGAGACACGGUCCAGACUCCUACGGGAGGCAGCAGUAGGGAAUCUUCCGCAAUGGGCGAAAGCCUGACGGAGCAACGCCGCGUGAGUGAUGAAGGUCUUCGGAUCGUAAAACUCUGUUAUCAGGGAAGAACAAAUGUGUAAGUAACUGUGCACAUCUUGACGGUACCUGAUCAGAAAGCCACGGCUAACUACGUGCCAGCAGCCGCGGUAAUACGUAGGUGGCAAGCGUUAUCCGGAAUUAUUGGGCGUAAAGCGCGCGUAGGCGGUUUUUUAAGUCUGAUGUGAAAGCCCACGGCUCAACCGUGGAGGGUCAUUGGAAACUGGAAAACUUGAGUGCAGAAGAGGAAAGUGGAAUUCCAUGG